AAGAAUAUAGGAGUAAGGAUGCAGACAUUUGUAUGCACUGUAUUUGUUACCUUCACCCCUAUUCUUUCCGUGUUCUGUUCCAUGUGCUCUUUGAGUCC
Molecule: small RNA, 98 nt
Filed under: Oryza sativa Japonica Group (Japanese rice)
Lineage: Eukaryota; Viridiplantae; Streptophyta; Magnoliopsida; Poales; Poaceae
Description: misc RNA Os01g0558900
Source: RNAcentral